This 568-nucleotide ribosomal RNA is filed under the name uncultured bacterium. RNAcentral describes it as "bacterial SSU rRNA". It matches the Rfam family "Bacterial small subunit ribosomal RNA", at positions 387 to 950 of the family's 1533-position model. The record is from RNAcentral.
UCCAGCAUGCCGCGUGAGUGAAGAAGGCCUUCGGGUUGUAAAGCUCUUUUGUCAGGGAAGAAACACCGGCUCUAACACAGUCCGGGAAUGACGGUACCUGAAGAAUAAGCACCGGCUAACUACGUGCCAGCAGCCGCGGUAAUACGUAGGGUGCGAGCGUUAAUCGGAAUUACUGGGCGUAAAGCGUGCGCAGGCGGUUAUACAAGACAGGCGUGAAAUCCCCGGGCUUAACCUGGGAAUGGCGCCUGUGACUGUAUAGCUAGAGUGUGUCAGAGGGGGGUAGAAUUCCACGUGUAGCAGUGAAAUGCGUAGAUAUGUGGAGGAAUACCAAUGGCGAAGGCAGCCCCCUGGGAUAACACUGACGCUCAUGCACGAAAGCGUGGGGAGCAAACAGGAUUAGAUACCCUGGUAGUCCACGCCCUAAACGAUGCUGACUAGUUGUUCGGGAUUUACAUCCUGAGUAACGUAGCUAACGCGUGAAGUCAGCCGCCUGGGGAGUACGGUCGCAAGAUUACAACUCACAGGACUUGACGGGGACCCGCACAAGCGGUGGAUGAUGUGGAUUAAU